AACGAACGCUGGCGGCAUGCCUAACACAUGCAAGUCGAACGAGACCUUCGGGUCUAGUGGCGCACGGGUGCGUAACACGUGGGAAUCUGCCCUUUGCUUCGGAAUAACAGUUAGAAAUGACUGCUAAUACCGGAUGAUGUCGAAAGACCAAAGAUUUAUCGGCAAAGGAUGAGCCCGCGUAGGAUUAGGUAGUUGGUGGGGUAAAGGCCUACCAAGCCGACGAUCCUUAGCUGGUCUGAGAGGAUGAUCAGCCACACUGGGACUGAGACACGGCCCAGACUCCUACGGGAGGCAGCAGUGGGGAAUAUUGGACAAUGGGCGAAAGCCUGAUCCAGCAAUGCCGCGUGAGUGAUGAAGGCCUUAGGGUUGUAAAGCUCUUUUACCAGGGAUGAUAAUGACAGUACCUGGAGAAUAAGCGCCGGCUAACUCCGCG
RNAcentral lists this ribosomal RNA (433 nucleotides) under uncultured bacterium. Its description in RNAcentral is "partial 16S ribosomal RNA". It matches the Rfam family "Bacterial small subunit ribosomal RNA", at positions 29 to 507 of the family's 1533-position model. The record is from RNAcentral.